Molecule: small nucleolar RNA, 76 nt
Filed under: Alligator sinensis (Chinese alligator)
Lineage: Eukaryota; Metazoa; Chordata; Crocodylia; Alligatoridae
Description: Small nucleolar RNA SNORD66
Rfam family: Small nucleolar RNA SNORD66
About the family: snoRNA HBII-142 is part of the C/D family of snoRNAs. It is the human orthologue of the mouse MBII-142 snoRNA and is predicted to guide 2'O-ribose methylation of small 18S rRNA at residue C1272.
Source: Rfam by way of RNAcentral
GUGCAUGAUGAUCUCCUCUUAGUGCCAUCGUGUCUGGGCCACUGAUGCUCCGUGAUGGAACUGAGGAUCUGAGCAG